Molecule: ribosomal RNA, 425 nt
Filed under: uncultured prokaryote
Description: bacterial SSU rRNA
Rfam family: Bacterial small subunit ribosomal RNA
Source: RNAcentral
UAACGAAUAUUCCACAAUGGACGCAAGUCUGAUGGAGCAAUGCCGCGUGUGGGAUGAAGCAUCUAGGUGUGUAAACCACUGUCAGGAGCUAGGAACACAAUGACCAGCUCCAAAGGAAGGACCGGCUAACUUCGUGCCAGCAGCCGCGGUAAUACGAAGGGUCCGAGCGUUGCGCGGAAUCACUGGGCUUAAAGCGUGCGCAGGCGGAUAUGCAAGUAUCUUGUGAAAUCCCACGGCUCAACCGUGGAACUGCUUGGUAUACUGUGUAUCUUGAGGUCGGUAGGGGCCAUCGGAACGAUAGGUGGAGCGGUGAAAUGCGUAGAUAUCUAUCGGAACGCCUAAGGCGAAGGCAGAUGGCUGGGCCGAUUCUGACGCUCAUGCACGAAAGCGUGGGGAGCGAACGGGAUUAGAUACCCCCGUAGUCC